GGGACCCGGUCUAUAGGAGCAGGUCAACAACUCCAGCGACACAACGGCUAAUUACGAAUAUUCUAGAAUAAGCUAUCAUGACCUUAAUUAAUGACCAUCCAUUUCUAACACAACGCAAAAAAUAUACGAAACGUAUCAAAGAGCUGCAAGAUGCUAUCCGAGACCCCAGGCACGAGCUGGAGGAGGUCCAGAAAAAAAAACUGCGUGCUGAGGAAAAGUUACUUCAGUGGUACCGUCAACAUGUCCCUCGUAUCUAUUGCGUUGGCUCGGUUAACAUAAGUUAUAAUUAGGUUGCCUUAGGUUUAAAAUGUAAAAAACACGGUUUUGUCUCAAACAGUCUGAUCAAGGUGAUGCCUCUGCCCCCCCAUCACUUAAUUGAAACAUGUUGACCAGGGACUGAACGGCACCAGCUUGGCAUCUUUUUACUCACCAAAUACCAGGAAGUGCUUUGUACUACAGCAAUUAAAUGAUAUAAUACAACUUCAUUGUUUGAACAAAGUUAAGGAGCUGCCAGUAAGAAGCGCUUACAAAUGAGUGACGUCAAGAGAAGAAUGGGACCCGGUCUCGAAUCCCGUUAAAGGCAGGCCAACAAUUCCAGCGACACAACGGCUAAUUGCAUAGAAUAAGCUAUCAUGACCUUAAUUAAUGACCAUCCAUUUCUAACACAACGCAAAAAAAUAUAUGGUAGGUUCAACGUGUGUUACCCGUGCUAGCUAGCUGCUAACAUUAGCUGAAUUUGCGAGGUUUUCAUGUCGGUGGAAAUACGAAAGUUACGCAUUGUCAAGGGAAAUUAACCUUAAUACAAAUAAACUGUACGGAAGCUCGACAACAUUACUCUAAAUGUUAACUUUUUGUGCAACGGUGUGUUAGUAGCUGUAAUACCUCUUGUUAAUUUGCAGAAACGUAUCAAAGAGCUGCAAGAUGCUAUCCGAGACCCCAGGCACGAGCUGGAGGAGGUCCAGAAAAAAAAACUGCGUGCUGAGGAAGAGUUACUUCAGUGGUACCGUCAACAUGUCCCUCGUGUCUAUUGCGUUGGCUCGGUUAACAUAAGUUAUAAUUAGUUCGCCUUAGGUUUAAAAUGUAAAAGACACGGUUUUGUCUCAACCUGUCUUAUCAAGGUGAUGCCUCUGCCCCUCCCCCCAAUCACUUAAUUGAAACAUGUUGACCAGGGACUGAACGGCACCAGCUUCCUUUUUACUCCAGGAAGUGCUUUGUACUACAGCAUUACAAAAUACUACAAUAUUUCACUCUUCAAGGAAAAGGGUUGCAUGUGCAUGUGUGUGUUUCAGUAAAUCAGCGAUGGGUGAAAUGCAGAGACUAAUUUCCCAGUUUGGGAUUACUAGAGUGAAUAAAAUAAAAAAAAAUCCCAUCCUUUUUACAUGAUUAACCUGAGUUCCUCUUAAUGUCCACACCUGUCAUCCAACGCCUUUUAGCCCCACUUAAGUUUUGCCAGUCAAUAUAUGCUAUUAUAUUGUACUGUCUUGACUUUGUUCAGUUCACAUUUGAAUUAUGAGACCUGUUCUCACUUGCAGUAACAGAGAAAUUGAGCUGAGAAUGCAUCUGAUAAAGGACAAAAUUGGAGUUGUUGAUAUGCUGCAGCAACUGGCCAUGAACUGCUGCAAGAGGAAAAGGAUCGGUCUGAACUGAAUGGUCGAACCUCUGCGGACAGGUCAUGUGCUGUGCUUUGUGCUUAGGAUACACAGGAUGCCCUUUCAUCAAUAAAAGUUGAUUUCACUGCAUAUUUAUUGUCUUUCAGAAGUCAGAGGAAGAGGGAAAAAGUCAGUUUGUCAAACAAGGCAAGAAGCCUCGCUGCUGAAAUUCUGGAGGUGAAACAAUGCCUGGCAGAGGCCAAGGCUGGUAAUGUGGCAGCACAAGCUUUGAUUGAUGCACCAACCAGCAAAUCAAAGAGAAAUCAGAGCAAACCCAUGUGAAUCAAAACUGAAAUGUUUUCUAGGUAGAUUGGCACAUUUUGUUUUUAUUUUAAUUUUAUAGGUAUAAUCAAUUGUGUAUAUAAUUUGUUGCGCCAAAUAAAGUGUUUGAAUUGA
Long non-coding RNA from Chelmon rostratus (copperband butterflyfish), 2045 nucleotides. RefSeq lists it as uncharacterized. The record is from RefSeq and is a predicted model, not a curated record. The transcript is spliced from 3 exons. Lineage: Eukaryota; Metazoa; Chordata; Actinopteri; Chaetodontiformes; Chaetodontidae.